Molecule: ribosomal RNA, 1395 nt
Filed under: Massilia varians
Lineage: Bacteria; Pseudomonadati; Pseudomonadota; Betaproteobacteria; Burkholderiales; Oxalobacteraceae
Description: bacterial SSU rRNA
Rfam family: Bacterial small subunit ribosomal RNA
Source: RNAcentral
UGCAGUCGAACGGCAGCACGGGCUUCGGCCUGGUGGCGAGUGGCGAACGGGUGAGUAAUACAUCGGAACGUACCCAGAAGUGGGGGAUAACGCAGCGAAAGUUGCGCUAAUACCGCAUACGUUCUACGGAAGAAAGUGGGGGAUCUUCGGACCUCAUGCUUUUGGAGCGGCCGAUGUCUGAUUAGCUAGUUGGUGGGGUAAAGGCUCACCAAGGCGACGAUCAGUAGCUGGUCUGAGAGGACGACCAGCCACACUGGAACUGAGACACGGUCCAGACUCCUACGGGAGGCAGCAGUGGGGAAUUUUGGACAAUGGGCGCAAGCCUGAUCCAGCAAUGCCGCGUGAGUGAAGAAGGCCUUCGGGUUGUAAAGCUCUUUUGUCAGGGAAGAAACGGUUCCGGCUAAUAUCUGGAGCUAAUGACGGUACCUGAAGAAUAAGCACCGGCUAACUACGUGCCAGCAGCCGCGGUAAUACGUAGGGUGCAAGCGUUAAUCGGAAUUACUGGGCGUAAAGCGUGCGCAGGCGGUUUUGUAAGUCUGUCGUGAAAGCCCCGGGCUCAACCUGGGAAUUGCGAUGGAGACUGCAAGGCUUGAAUCUGGCAGAGGGGGGUAGAAUUCCACGUGUAGCAGUGAAAUGCGUAGAGAUGUGGAGGAACACCGAUGGCGAAGGCAGCCCCCUGGGUCAAGAUUGACGCUCAUGCACGAAAGCGUGGGGAGCAAACAGGAUUAGAUACCCUGGUAGUCCACGCCCUAAACGAUGUCUACUAGUUGUCGGGUUUUAAUUAACUUGGUAACGCAGCUAACGCGUGAAGUAGACCGCCUGGGGAGUACGGUCGCAAGAUUAAAACUCAAAGGAAUUGACGGGGACCCGCACAAGCGGUGGAUGAUGUGGAUUAAUUCGAUGCAACGCGAAAAACCUUACCUACCCUUGACAUGGAAGGAAUCCGAAGAGAUUUGGGAGUGCCCGAAAGGGAACCUUCACACAGGUGCUGCAUGGCUGUCGUCAGCUCGUGUCGUGAGAUGUUGGGUUAAGUCCCGCAACGAGCGCAACCCUUGUCAUUAGUUGCUACGCAAGAGCACUCUAAUGAGACUGCCGGUGACAAACCGGAGGAAGGUGGGGAUGACGUCAAGUCCUCAUGGCCCUUAUGGGUAGGGCUUCACACGUCAUACAAUGGUACAUACAGAGGGCCGCCAACCCGCGAGGGGGAGCUAAUCCCAGAAAGUGUAUCGUAGUCCGGAUUGUAGUCUGCAACUCGACUACAUGAAGUUGGAAUCGCUAGUAAUCGCGGAUCAGCAUGUCGCGGUGAAUACGUUCCCGGGUCUUGUACACACCGCCCGUCACACCAUGGGAGCGGGUUUUACCAGAAGUAGGUAGCUUAACCGCAAGGAGGGCGCU